Molecule: long non-coding RNA, 224 nt
Organism: Mya arenaria
Lineage: Eukaryota; Metazoa; Mollusca; Bivalvia; Myida; Myidae
Exons: 3
Source: RefSeq, a predicted model, not a curated record
AAUUCAUCGUGUAAACCCCUUGCAAUUUCCUUUUCCGGUAGACAUUAGCCAUGGACAAAUUACAGCCUAUCAAACUUGCAAAAGUUGUGAAGGUUCUUGGCAGAACAGGGUCACAGGGACAGUGUACACAGGUGCGUGUGGAGUUCCUCGAUGACAGCAACCGCUCCAUCAUCCGAAACGUGAAGGGCCCCGUAAGAGAGGGAGAUAUCCUCACACUGCUCGAG